Molecule: ribosomal RNA, 301 nt
Filed under: uncultured bacterium
Lineage: Bacteria
Description: partial 16S ribosomal RNA
Rfam family: Bacterial small subunit ribosomal RNA
Source: RNAcentral
CAGCCGCCGCGGUAAGACAGAGGAUGCAAGCGUUAUCCGGAAUGAUUGGGCGUAAAGCGUCUGUAGGUGGCUUUUCAAGUCCGCCGUCAAAUCCCAGGGCUCAACCCUGGACAGGCGGUGGAAACUACCAAGCUGGAGUACGGUAGGGGCAGAGGGAAUUUCCGGUGUAGCGGUGAAAUGCGUAGAGAUCUGGAGGAAUACCGGUGGCGAAGGCGGCCCCCUGGACAAAGACUGACGCUCAGGUGCGAAAGCGUGGGGAGCAAACAGGAUUAGAUACCCCUGUAGUCCCUGUCUCUUAUAA